RNAcentral lists this ribosomal RNA (253 nucleotides) under uncultured bacterium. RNAcentral describes it as "partial 16S ribosomal RNA". It matches the Rfam family "Bacterial small subunit ribosomal RNA", at positions 524 to 776 of the family's 1533-position model. The record is from RNAcentral.
GACGAACCGAGCGAACGUUGUUCGGAAUCACUGGGCUUAAAGGGCGCGUAGGCGGGUGCUCAAGUCCGGGGUGGAAUCCUCCAGCUCAACUGGAGAACUGCCUCGGAUACUGGGUGCCUCGAGGGUGGUAGGGGUAUGCGGAACUAUCGGUGGAGCGGUGAAAUGCGUUGAUAUCGAUAGGAACUCCGGUGGCGAAGGCGGCAUACUGGACCACAUCUGACGCUGAGGCGCGAAAGCCAGGGGAGCAAACGGG